This is a long non-coding RNA of Numida meleagris (helmeted guineafowl), 506 nucleotides long. RefSeq lists it as uncharacterized. The record is from RefSeq and is a predicted model, not a curated record. Lineage: Eukaryota; Metazoa; Chordata; Aves; Galliformes; Numididae. The transcript is spliced from 3 exons.
CUCCUGCCUCAUGCAAACAAUGGCGCUGGCCCUCAUCCUGGGUGCCACCCGGUGACAGCGAGGGUCGGACCUACAUCGAGCUGCAAGCUGUGACCCACAGCAUGCAGCCUCCAACCCUCCCUGCUGCCCCCCAGCCCUCUGUUAUCUAUGCCGAGGUGGCCACUGGGGGGCACCACUGAUGCCUCCGAUCUGUGUGCACAAACACGUGUGUGUUGGCUGCACACAUGUACUUCAAGUGUGCACAGUGCAGCAAACACCAAGGACACACAUGUGCUCCCCAUGGCACGUCUUCAUCGCUCCAACCCAAACCAGCACGCAUCCCACAAUGCUUUUGGGACAGGAUUCUCAUUUCUGGAGGGUUUUCCUCCCACACGUCUGGUGGAGAAUUCCCUUUCUGAAGGAUUUAUCCUGCUUUUUGGGGGAGGAUUCCUCUUUCUGCAAAGCUUUAUCUUUCCGGUAUUUCUGGAGAGUUUGAUUCCUAUUCCAAGAAUUCCCAGUUCUGAAGG